RNAcentral lists this ribosomal RNA (274 nucleotides) under uncultured bacterium. Its description in RNAcentral is "partial 16S ribosomal RNA". It matches the Rfam family "Bacterial small subunit ribosomal RNA", at positions 523 to 796 of the family's 1533-position model. The record is from RNAcentral.
AUACGGAGGGUGCAAGCGUUACUCGGAAUCACUGGGCGUAAAGCGCGCGCAGGCGGCUUGAUAAGUUGGAUGUGAAAGCCUACUGCUCAACCGUAGAACUGCAUCCAGAACUGUCAGGCUAGAGUGUGGGAGAGGAAGAUGGAAUUAGUUGUGUAGGGGUAAAAUCCGUAGAGAUAACUAGGAAUACCAAAAGCGAAGGCAAUCUUCUGGAACACUACUGACGCUGAGGCGCGAAGGCGUGGGGAGCAAACAGGAUUAGAAACCCCAGUAGUCC